GUGUCAGCAGCCGCGGUAAUACGUAUGGGGCAAGCGUUGUUCGGAGUUAUUGGGCGUAAAGGGCGUGUAGGCGGCUCAUCAAGUCUGGUGUGAAAUUGCAGGGCUCAACCCUGCAGGUGCGCUGGAAACUGGUGGGCUAGAGUUCUUGAGGGGAAGCUGGAAUUCCAGGUGUAGGGGUGAAAUCUGUAGAUAUCUGGAAGAACACCGGUGGCGAAGGCGAGCUUCUAUCAAAGGACUGACGCUGAGGCGCGAAAGCGUGGGGAGCAAACAGGAUUAGAUACCCUGGUAGUCCACGCUGUAAACGAUGUGCACUAGGCGUGGGGCACGUACGUGCUCUGUGCCGUAGCUAACGCGAUAAGUGCACCGCCUGGGGAGUAUGCUCGCAAGGGUGAAACUUAAAGGAAUUGACGGGG
This 413-nucleotide ribosomal RNA is filed under the name uncultured prokaryote. Its description in RNAcentral is "bacterial SSU rRNA". It matches the Rfam family "Bacterial small subunit ribosomal RNA", at positions 505 to 918 of the family's 1533-position model. The record is from RNAcentral.